CUGAGGACUCUGUUACGCCUCUGUACUCCAUCUUCGUUAGCUCCAAAGGAUAAGAAGGAAAAAGCGCGUGAAACUAUUUCAUUCUCCCUCCGUCUCUCCCUCCUUUGCAUUCGCUUUCGCCUACUCUCUUUAUCUGAAUGGUUAGAAGAAAAAACCCUCUGUCGUUCGUCCCUCCUUUCAGCAACUGUUCGUAUUUUAGACUGGACCAUCUUCUUCCAUCGUUCGUUCUUCAUUCUCCAUCGAUCUUCCUUCUGUAUAUAUUUUCAGAGAAAAAAACAUUCCUCUGACAAACUUCCCCAACAUCUGCUCCCCCAAGGUAUAAAAUAGUUUAUGAAAUUCGCAUAUCAAAUUUUACAAGAAAAGAUCAGUGGAACGUGGCAGUAGAUAGCACAUAUGUUGGAGUGCCUAACAGUUCAAGGCCAAGAGGUGGACAACAAAAUUAAUUUAAAACUUAUAGAGAUCAAUGAUAUGAAAAGAACUAUUCAUAAAUAUAGUGAUGCAGACUCUGGGGCCACUAUAGAACUACUUGUUUGGGACUCGAAGUUGAUGGCUUCGCGAGUCUUUUCCGAUGGAAAUCAAAUCCUUGGCUACAACCGGAAGGGAAACUAGAAGAGGAACGGCGAUGGAUCACCCGGAAGCCCUCAACUCUUCCUCACCUUCAUCUUCUUCGUUCCAUCCGUGCGCUGGCCGUCAUUUUUAUGUCGCUGUUGACCGCCUUCUCUUCAAGCUGGAUACCCUGGUGGAUCUCCUAGGCGUGACAGGGCGUCGGCCGUUCCUGCCUGUUGUUCUGUGCUGCAAUUCACGGGAUGAGCUGGAUGCUGUCUAUGCUGCAGUAUCCAACCUCAACUUUAUCUCUUCGUUCCCGCUGUAUAGUGAUCAGGCUGAAGCUGAAAGAGCAUCCACCCUUGAAAAAUUUCGCCAAUCAACCAUAGGAUGGAAUCAAAAUGCUAAUGUCCAUUCUGGUGAUGGUGUUGAGCCUGAAAAUCAGAAGUCAUGCAUGAUAAUUGUGACAGAUGCUUGCCUUCCUUUUGUAACUUUGGGGGAGGCUCCUUUAGCAGCUCGUGUAUUAAUAAAUUAUGAAUUACCAUCAAAGAAGGAAACAUAUUUAAGACGCAUGUCAACAUGCUUGGCAGCAGAUGGAAUUGUGAUCAACAUGGUUGUUGGAGGCGAAGUGGUCAUUUUGAAAGGUCUGGAGGAGAGCAGUGGACUUAUACUAGCAGAAAUGCCCAUAAAUAUUUCUGAAAUCCUAUAAGAAAAUUAAUUUUUUUCUAUUCUUGGGAGGAAGGAAUAUAUGUCUGCUAAGUUUAUACUUCCAAAAAGCAUCAUCAGUCUCAGCGUUUAGGAUUUAAUUUGCUACUUUUUGUCAGAAGCCUGAGGAUGCCUAUUCGUAUAGAAGCCUAGGAAUUUGGAGUUGAGAGAUCGUGUGUAGAUUCAUACCAACAACUACCGCCAAGCUCCCUAUGCCUCUUGACUGGUGAGGCCUUCCAGGAUCCUGCAGCUGCGUUUUGUGACAACUACUUUCGGAAGAAAAUAAUAGAAGAGUAUUUCCAGGCCCCCUCUAUAGUAAGGAGCUCUCUCCAGCUUUUAAAUUAGAGCUCACAUGAAACUCUGUGCUUCACAACUCCAAUAUUGGAGUGGAAGGAAUGGGAUGAGAAAACCAAUGGGGAGAGGAAUGAAAGAAGAAGCUUAUAAAA
RNA transcript from Phalaenopsis equestris, 1694 nucleotides. It is a transcript of the gene named eukaryotic initiation factor 4A-III-A, with no coding region annotated. Lineage: Eukaryota; Viridiplantae; Streptophyta; Magnoliopsida; Asparagales; Orchidaceae. The record is from RefSeq and is a predicted model, not a curated record. The transcript has 10 exons.